CCUACGGGUGGCAGCAGUGAGGAAUAUUGGUCAAUGGGCGGGAGCCUGAACCAGCCAAGCCGCGUGAGGGAAGAAGGUACAGCGUAUCGUAAACCUCUUUUGUCAGGGAACAAAGGCGGGGACUAGUCCCCGGAUGAGGGUACCUGAAGAAAAAGCAUCGGCUAACUCCGUGCCAGCAGCCGCGGUAAUACGGAGGAUGCGAGCGUUAUCCGGAUUUAUUGGGGUUAAAGGGUGCGCAGGCGGCCUGUUAAGUCAGCGGGAAAAGCCCGGGGCUAAACCCCGGCGAGCCGUUGAAACUGGCGGGCUGGAGUUGGAGAGAGGUACGCGGAAUGCGUGGUGUAGCGGUGAAAUGCUUAGAUAUCGGGCAGAACCCCGAUUGCGAAGGCAGCGUACCGGCUCCACACUGACGCUGAGGCACGAAAGCGUGGGUAUCGAACAGGAUUAGAUACCCCUGUAGUC
RNAcentral lists this ribosomal RNA (459 nucleotides) under uncultured bacterium. RNAcentral describes it as "partial 16S ribosomal RNA". It matches the Rfam family "Bacterial small subunit ribosomal RNA", at positions 338 to 795 of the family's 1533-position model. The record is from RNAcentral.